Molecule: ribosomal RNA, 429 nt
Filed under: Bacteroidota bacterium
Lineage: Bacteria; Pseudomonadati; Bacteroidota
Description: Bacteroidetes bacterium partial 16S ribosomal RNA
Rfam family: Bacterial small subunit ribosomal RNA
Source: RNAcentral
UAGGGAAUCUUCCGCAAUGGACGCAAGUCUGACGGAGCAACGCCGCGUGAGUGAAGAAGGAUUUCGGUUCGUAAAACUCUGUUGUUAGAGAAGAACAGCGCAUAGAGUAACUGUUAUGCGUGUGACGGUAUCUAACCAGAAAGCCACGGCUAACUACGUGCCAGCAGCCGCGGUAAUACGUAGGUGGCAAGCGUUGUCCGGAUUUAUUGGGCGUAAAGCGAGCGCAGGCGGUAAAUUAAGUCUGAUGUGAAAGCCCCCGGCUCAACCGGGGAGGGUCAUUGGAAACUGGUUGACUUGAGUGCAGAAGAGGAGAGUGGAAUUCCAUGUGUAGCGGUGAAAUGCGUAGAUAUAUGGAGGAACACCAGUGGCGAAGGCGACUCUCUGGUCUGUAACUGACGCUGAGGCUCGAAAGCGUGGGUAGCAAACAGG